RNAcentral lists this ribosomal RNA (253 nucleotides) under uncultured bacterium. Its description in RNAcentral is "partial 16S ribosomal RNA". It matches the Rfam family "Bacterial small subunit ribosomal RNA", at positions 524 to 776 of the family's 1533-position model. The record is from RNAcentral.
UACGGGGGGUGCAAGCGUUGUUCGGAAUUACUGGGCGUAAAGGGCUCGUAGGCGGCCAACUAAGUCAGACGUGAAAUCCCUCAGCUUAACUGGGGAACUGCGUCUGAUACUGGAUGGCUUGAGUUUGGGAGAGGGAAGCGGAAUUCCAGGUGUAGCGGUGAAAUGCGUAGAUAUCUGGAGGAACACCGGUGGCGAAGGCGGCGUCCUGGACCAACACUGACACUGAUGAGCGAAAGCCAGGGGAGCAAACGGG